GGUUGACCUCGGAUCAGGUAGGGAUACCCGCUGAACUUAAGCAUAUCAAUAAGCGGAGGAAAAGAAACCAACAGGGAUUGCCCCAGUAACGGCGAGUGAAGCGGCAAGAGCUCAAAUUUGAAAGCUGGCCCCCUCGGGGUCCGCAUUGUAAUUUGCAGAGGAUGCUUCGGGAGCGGCCCCCAUCUAAGUGCCCUGGAACGGGCCGUCAUAGAGGGUGAGAAUCCCGUAU
Molecule: ribosomal RNA, 229 nt
Filed under: Penicillium anatolicum
Lineage: Eukaryota; Fungi; Ascomycota; Eurotiomycetes; Eurotiales; Aspergillaceae
Description: partial 28S ribosomal RNA
Rfam family: Eukaryotic large subunit ribosomal RNA
Source: RNAcentral